This 103-nucleotide ribosomal RNA is filed under the name Pteropus alecto (black flying fox). Lineage: Eukaryota; Metazoa; Chordata; Mammalia; Chiroptera; Pteropodidae. The record is from RNAcentral.
GUCUAUGGCCAUGCUACCCUGAACAAGCCGGAAGCUUAAGCAGGGUCGGACCUGGUUAGUACGUGGAUGGGAGACCACCUAGGAAGACCAGGUGCUGUAGGCA